UACGGGGGGGGCAAGCGUUGUUCGGAAUUACUGGGCGUAAAGGGUUUGUAGGUGGCCGGCUAAGUCAGACGUGAAAUCCCUCAGCUUAACUGGGGAACUGCGUCUGGGACUGGUCGGCUUGAGGGCCGGAGAGGAACGCGGAAUUCCAGGUGUAGCGGUGAAAUGCGUAGAUAUCUGGAGGAACACCGGUGGCGAAGGCGGCAUCCUGGACCAACACUGACACUGAGGAGCGAAAGCCAGGGGAGCAAACGGG
RNAcentral lists this ribosomal RNA (253 nucleotides) under uncultured prokaryote. Its description in RNAcentral is "partial 16S ribosomal RNA". It matches the Rfam family "Bacterial small subunit ribosomal RNA", at positions 524 to 776 of the family's 1533-position model. The record is from RNAcentral.